Long non-coding RNA from Octopus sinensis (East Asian common octopus), 107 nucleotides. RefSeq lists it as uncharacterized. The transcript has 3 exons. Lineage: Eukaryota; Metazoa; Mollusca; Cephalopoda; Octopoda; Octopodidae. The record is from RefSeq and is a predicted model, not a curated record.
AAGUCCUGGAAAAGUUGUUUAUGGUAGACCGGCAAUCGUUCAUACAUACCACCCUCCCCUCUCCACGCCACAAAUGUUAUCCAAGGGAAAGGCAAAGGCCGAUACAG